UACGAAGGGGGCUAGCGUUGUUCGGAAUCACUGGGCGUAAAGGGCGCGUAGGCGGCUUUAUAAGUCGGGGGUGAAAGCCUGUGGCUCAACCACAGAAUUGCCUUCGAUACUGUAGAGCUUGAGACCGGAAGAGGUAAGUGGAACUGCGAGUGUAGAGGUGAAAUUCGUAGAUAUUCGCAAGAACACCAGUGGCGAAGGCGGCUUACUGGUCCGGUUCUGACGCUGAGGCGCGAAAGCGUGGGGAGCGAACAGG
Molecule: ribosomal RNA, 253 nt
Filed under: uncultured bacterium
Lineage: Bacteria
Description: partial 16S ribosomal RNA
Rfam family: Bacterial small subunit ribosomal RNA
Source: RNAcentral